AGAGUUUGAUCAUGGCUCAGGACGAACGCUGGCGGCGUGCCUAAUACAUGCAAGUCGAGCGAUGGUUUCGAGGAGCUUGCUCCUUGGAACGAUAGCGGCGGACGGGUGAGUAACACGUAGGCAACCUGCCCUGAAGACUGGGAUAACUGGCGGAAACGUCAGCUAAUACCGGAUAGGCUCUAUCCUCGCCUGGGGAAAGAGAGAAAGGCGCGAAUGCGCCGCUUGAGGAUGGGCCUGCGUCGCAUUAGCUAGUUGGUGGGGUAAGGGCUCACCAAGGCGACGAUGCGUAGCCGACCUGAGAGGGUGAUCGGCCACACUGGGACUGAGACACGGCCCAGACUCCUACGGGAGGCAGCAGUAGGGAAUCUUCGGCAAUGGACGAAAGUCUGACCGAGCAACGCCGCGUGAGUGAGGAAGGCCCUCGGGUCGUAAAGCUCUGUUGCCAGGGAAGAAGACGUGAGAGAGGAAAUGCUCUUGCGGUGACGGUACCUGAGAAGAAAGCCCCGGCUAACUACGUGCCAGCAGCCGCGGUAAUACGUAGGGGGCAAGCGUUGUCCGGAUUUAUUGGGCGUAAAGCGCGCGCAGGCGGUCUCUUAAGUCUGAUGUGAAAUCUCGCGGCUCAACCGUGAGCGGUCAUUGGAAACUGAGAGACUUGAGUACAGAAGAGGAGAGUGGAAUUCCACGUGUAGCGGUGAAAUGCGUAGAGAUGUGGAGGAACACCAGUGGCGAAGGCGACUCUCUGGUCUGUAACUGACGCUGAGGCGCGAAAGCGUGGGGAGCGAACAGGAUUAGAUACCCUGGUAGUCCACGCCGUAAACGAUGAGUGCUAGGUGUUAGGGGUUUCGAUGCCCUUAGUGCCGAAGUUUAACACAUUAAGCACUCCGCCUGGGGAGUACGACCGCAAGGUUGAAACUCAAAGGAAUUGACGGGGGCCCGCACAAGCAGUGGAGCAUGUGGUUUAAUUCGAAGCAACGCGAAGAACCUUACCAGGUCUUGACAUCCUUUGACCACCCUAGAGAUAGGGCUUUCCCCUUCGGGGGACAAAGUGACAGGUGGUGCAUGGUUGUCGUCAGCUCGUGUCGUGAGAUGUUGGGUUAAGUCCCGCAACGAGCGCAACCCUUGAUCUUAGUUGCCAGCAUUUAGUUGGGCACUCUAAGGUGACUGCCGGUGACAAACCGGAGGAAGGUGGGGAUGACGUCAAAUCAUCAUGCCCCUUAUGACCUGGGCUACACACGUGCUACAAUGGAUGGUACAAAGGGAAGCGAUACCGCGAGGUUUAGCCAAUCCCAUAAAGCCAUUCUCAGUUCGGAUUGCAGGCUGCAACUCGCCUGCAUGAAGCCGGAAUUGCUAGUAAUCGUGGAUCAGCAUGCCACGGUGAAUACGUUCCCGGGCCUUGUACACACCGCCCGUC
RNAcentral lists this ribosomal RNA (1411 nucleotides) under uncultured Bacillus sp. Its description in RNAcentral is "16S ribosomal RNA". It matches the Rfam family "Bacterial small subunit ribosomal RNA". The record is from RNAcentral. Lineage: Bacteria; Bacillati; Bacillota; Bacilli; Caryophanales; Bacillaceae.